RNAcentral lists this long non-coding RNA (299 nucleotides) under Elaeis guineensis (African oil palm). RNAcentral's name for it is "long non-coding RNA (EGUI_LNC060365)". Lineage: Eukaryota; Viridiplantae; Streptophyta; Magnoliopsida; Arecales; Arecaceae. The record is from RNAcentral.
GUAUGUCAUGCAAUGAGAUUAAAAAAAUCUCGUAAAGUUUUGUUGGCUCUAUGAUUGAUUUUGAUGAUUAUAAAAUAUUAAAAAAUUAUGAUACUAAUCAUAUAUUUCAAGAGUAGAUAUAGGAUUUCUAAAAUAUUCAAAAUGAAAAAAAUAUCCUUGAAAGAAAUCCUCUUAAGAUGCUAGGCUAAGGCACUUCAAAGAAUGAAAUUUCAUAAAUUUGGCUCAGAGGAGUCGACCCUAGGGAAGAGGAGUCGACUAUGGCAUGCUUGGAGCAGAUUGGCAUAUGCUUGAAUCGACUC